RNAcentral lists this ribosomal RNA (394 nucleotides) under uncultured soil bacterium. RNAcentral describes it as "bacterial SSU rRNA". It matches the Rfam family "Bacterial small subunit ribosomal RNA", at positions 26 to 412 of the family's 1533-position model. The record is from RNAcentral.
AGGACGAACGCUGGCGGCGCGCUUAACACAUGCAAGUCGAGCGAGAACCAGUCCUUCGGGACUGGGGACAGCGGCGAACGGGUGAGUAACACGUGGGUAAUCUGCCCUCGAUUCUGGGAUAGCCCGGGGAAACCCGGAUUAAUACCGGAUAGCCUCUCGAGCUUACGAGCUCGUGAGAAAAGGUAGCUUCGGCCUCCGAUCGAGGAUGAGCCCGCGGCGGAUUAGCUUGUUGGUGGGGUAAUGGCCUACCAAGGCGACGAUCCGUAGCUGGUCUGAGAGGACGAUCAGCCACACUGGGACUGAGACACGGCCCAGACUCCGUACGGGAGGCAGCAGGUGGGAAUCUUGCGCAAUGGGCGAAAGCCUGACGCAGCGACGCCGCGGUGGGGAAGAA